UCCGGUUUGUCACCGGCAGUCUCACUAGAGUGCCCAACUGAAUGUGGCAACUAAUGACAAGGGUUGCGCUCGUUGCGGGACUUAACCCAACAUGUCACCACACGAGCUGACGACAGCCAUGCAGCACCUGUGCACGGACUCCGAAGAGGGGCCGAUGUUUCCACCGGCUUUCCCGUGCAUGUCAAACGCUGGUAAGGUUCUGCGCGUUGCUUCGAAUUGAACCACAUGCUCCACCGCUUGUGCGGGCCCCCGUCAAUUCCUUUGAGUUUUAGCCUUGCGGCCGUACUCCCCAGGCGGAGUGCUUAACGCGUUAGCUACGGCACCGCAGGGGUCAAUACCCGCAGCACCUAGCACUCAUCGUUUACGGCGUGGACUAC
RNAcentral lists this unclassified non-coding RNA (377 nucleotides) under uncultured bacterium. Its description in RNAcentral is "contains 16S-23S intergenic spacer region". The record is from RNAcentral.